RNAcentral lists this ribosomal RNA (636 nucleotides) under uncultured bacterium. RNAcentral describes it as "bacterial SSU rRNA". It matches the Rfam family "Bacterial small subunit ribosomal RNA", at positions 124 to 746 of the family's 1533-position model. The record is from RNAcentral.
ACCUGCCCCGGAGCGGGGGAUAACAUUUGGAAACAGAUGCUAAUACCGCAUAACGAUAAAAGCCGCAUGGCUUUUAUUUGAAAGAUGGCUUUGGCUAUCACUCUGGGAUGGACCUGCGGUGCAUUAGCUAGUUGGUAAGGUAACGGCUUACCAAGGCGAUGAUGCAUAGCCGAGUUGAGAGACUGAUCGGCCACAAUGGAACUGAGACACGGUCCAUACUAAUACGGGAGGCAGCAGUAGGGAAUCUUCCACAAUGGGCGCAAGCCUGAUGGAGCAACACCGCGUGAGUGAAGAAGGGUUUCGGCCCGUAAAGCUCUGUUGUUGGAGAAGAACGUGCGUGAGAGUAACUGUUCAUGCAGUGACGGUAUCCAACCAGAAAGUCACGGCUAACUACGUGCCAGCAGCCGCGGUAAUACGUAGGUGGCAAGCGUUAUCCGGAUUUAUUGGGCGUAAAGCGAGCGCAGGCGGUUACUUAGGUCUGAUGUGAAAGCCUUCGGCUUAACCGAAGAAGUGCAUCGGAAACCGGGCGACUUGAGUGCAGAAGAGGACAGUGGAACUCCAUGUGUAGCGGUGGAAUGCGUAGAUAUAUGGAAGAACACCAGUGGCCAAGGCGGCUGUCUGGUCUGCAACUGACGC